UGGGGAAUUUUGGACAAUGGGGGCAACCCUGAUCCAGCCAUGCCGCGUGUGUGAUGAAGGCCUUCGGGUUGUAAAGCACUUUCGGACGGAACGAAAUCGCGCGGGCGAACAUCCCGCGUGGAUGACGGUACCGUAAGAAGAAGCACCGGCUAACUACGUGCCAGCAGCCGCGGUAAUACGUAGGGUGCGAGCGUUAAUCGGAAUUACUGGGCGUAAAGGGUGCGCAGGCGGCCCCGCAAGUCAGGCGUGAAAUCCCCGAGCUUAACUUGGGAAUUGCGUUUGAAACUACGAGGCUGGAGUGUGGCAGAGGGAGGUGGAAUUCCACGUGUAGCGGUGAAAUGCGUAGAUAUGUGGAGGAACACCGAUGGCGAAGGCAGCCUCCUGGGCCAACACUGACGCUCAUGCACGAAAGCGUGGGGAGCAAACAG
This 428-nucleotide ribosomal RNA is filed under the name uncultured bacterium. RNAcentral describes it as "bacterial SSU rRNA". It matches the Rfam family "Bacterial small subunit ribosomal RNA", at positions 355 to 775 of the family's 1533-position model. The record is from RNAcentral.